Homarus americanus (American lobster) is the source of this 1145-nucleotide long non-coding RNA. RefSeq lists it as uncharacterized. The transcript is spliced from 2 exons. NCBI's taxonomy places the organism in Eukaryota, Metazoa, Arthropoda, Malacostraca, Decapoda, Nephropidae. The record is from RefSeq and is a predicted model, not a curated record.
AACAUUUGAAUCGUUUUUACGUUUUUGUUGUAUUAUCAGUCAGAUAAGAGAAAAGUAAAGAGAUGUAGAAACGUGUGAAAUUGACUUAGACAAUUACAAAACCCUUUUUCUAGCAUAUAAUACACGAGUACUGUAGUCCCUUUCUUCAGCUAUUCUCACCUUUUGUUUUAUUUACUGUUCUUGUUCAAAUACUUACCUGCAGUGUAGCAGAGAGGUUGGCGUCGACUGGGCCCCGAUUGAUGAAUGCUCUAAGAGUACAGUUGGGUCUGGUCUGCUCUAUAAGAAUGGUGUCCGGACGUCGUCACUCAAGCCACGCGUUUACUUCAUCCCAACAGUUACCAUUGACGGGCACUACAACCGUAAUCAACUGAGAACCUCACUUGGGGACUUGAAGACUCAAAUCUGUGAGGUGUACCAGGGACCACCACACCAGAAUUGUCUCUAAAUUUUUUCGUCAUUUCUCCCCAGCAGAGGUUUAAAGAAGUGCUGAGAACAAAUAGUUUUAAUGUCUCAAUGUUACUGCAAUAUUUUCAGUGCUUCUUAUUAGACAGGUCAUACAGUUUACAGACUUCAGUGCAAUCUUAACUAAAACAUUCCUGCCAAGUUUCAUCUCAGUGCAAUUUGAAACCGAGGACUAUGUUUAUUUUAUCUCGUUAAAUAUUUGUCCUAGUACUGAAGUGUUUUUCUCAUUUUUCCAUUCCAUUACUAGGCCCUAUUAACCAUUCAAAAUAUAUCUUUCAAUUACUGUACUGUAUCUUGUCAUUAUUACCCUCCUCUUGACUUUCUCAUUUUAAAGCCAUAACUCCUGUACUUUUCUUCUCCAUAUUUAUUUUGAUAUUCUAAUAUAGUUUUCUUAAGUAUAAAAUGACUACUGGAUUUGACUCUCUUCCCAUUUUUAAUUCCCUCUACUACUCUUACAUCAUUAUUUCAAGUACCGUAUCCAAAGAAGAUAGGUCUCCCAUUAUUGUUCCGCAUUUAAUGGAUUCCAGUUCUAGGCAAUAUGUAAAACUUCUUUUACUAGCAAAGAGAAUAAAAAUCAAGAGCUAACCUCUGAUCUCUUCUCAUUUAACACUGAUUUGUACUUAGUAUUAAAGUUUGUUAUAUCCAUCUUGUAUUAAAGAUAAAAACUUAAGACAUUAACCAGA